UAGGAAUAUAGCAUUAAAUAA
Molecule: non-coding RNA, 21 nt
Filed under: Caenorhabditis elegans
Lineage: Eukaryota; Metazoa; Nematoda; Chromadorea; Rhabditida; Rhabditidae
Source: RNAcentral